Molecule: ribosomal RNA, 253 nt
Filed under: uncultured bacterium
Lineage: Bacteria
Description: partial 16S ribosomal RNA
Rfam family: Bacterial small subunit ribosomal RNA
Source: RNAcentral
UACGGAGGGGGCUAGCGUUGUUCGGAAUUACUGGGCGUAAAGCGCGUGUAGGCGGCUCGGCAAGUCAGGUGUGAAAGCCCUGGGCUCAACCUAGGAAGUGCACUUGAAACUGCCAGGCUGGAGAUCUGGAGAGGAAGGCGGAAUUCUCGGUGUAGAGGUGAAAUUCGUAGAUAUCGAGAGGAACACCGGUGGCGAAGGCGGCCUUCUGGACAGCAUCUGACGCUGAGACGCGAAAGCGUGGGGAGCAAACAGG